This is a small nucleolar RNA of Spea bombifrons (plains spadefoot toad), 126 nucleotides long. RefSeq annotates it as small nucleolar RNA SNORA63. NCBI's taxonomy places the organism in Eukaryota, Metazoa, Chordata, Amphibia, Anura, Pelobatidae. The record is from RefSeq and is a predicted model, not a curated record. The transcript has a single exon.
AAGCAGGAUAAGUUACAAUUUAGCAUAACAGUGCUAUGUUGUCGUUCCCCCUGCUAAAAUGAACUUGUUUCCUUCUAUCCUUGACUGCUGCUUUUACAGCUGGCAGGGACGCUUGGUCUCAGACAU